Molecule: ribosomal RNA, 554 nt
Filed under: Stenopyga ziela
Lineage: Eukaryota; Metazoa; Arthropoda; Insecta; Mantodea; Mantidae
Description: partial 16S ribosomal RNA
Rfam family: Bacterial large subunit ribosomal RNA
Source: RNAcentral
UCGCCUGUUUAUCAAAAACAUGGUUUCUUGAAAUUUUUAAGAAAUUUAACCUGCCCACUGAUAUUUUUUGAAGGGCCGCAGUAUAUUGACUGUGCAAAGGUAGCAUAAUCAUUAGUCUUUUAAUUAAAGGCUGGAAUGAAUGGUUGGACGAGGUAAAAUCUAUUUUAUUAUAAGUAUAUUGAAUUUGGGUUUUAAGUAAAAAAACUUAAGUAAUUUUAAGGGACGAGAAGACCCUAUAGAGUUUUAUAAAUAUAAUAUAUAAUUGGGUUAGUUAAAAAUUUUUGUUUAAUAUGAAGUUUAUUUAAUUGGGGUGAUUAGAAAAUAAAAUUAACUUUUCUUUAAUUUUGAUAUUUUGAUUAGUUAAAUGAUCCAUAUUUAAUGAUUAAAAGAUUAAAUUACCUUAGGGAUAACAGCAUUAUUUCUUUUGAGAGUUCAUAUCAAGAAGGAAGAUUGUGACCUCGAUGUUGGAUUAAGAUAAAUAUUGGGUGUAGAUGUUCAAUUAUUAGGUCUGUUCGACCUUUAAAAUCUUACAUGAUCUGAGUUCAAACCGGAGA